This 374-nucleotide ribosomal RNA is filed under the name uncultured organism. Its description in RNAcentral is "partial 16S ribosomal RNA". It matches the Rfam family "Bacterial small subunit ribosomal RNA", at positions 527 to 896 of the family's 1533-position model. The record is from RNAcentral.
GUAGGUGGCAAGCGUUGUCCGGAAUUAUUGGGCGUAAAGCGCGCGCAGGUGGUUCUUUAAGUCUGAUGUGAAAGCCCCCGGCUCAACCGGGGAGGGUCAUUGGAAACUGGGGAACUUGAGUGCAGGAGAGGAAAGUGGAAUUCCACGUGUAGCGGUGAAAUGCGUAGAUAUGUGGAGGAACACCAGUGGCGAAGGCGACUUUCUGGCCUGUAACUGACACUGAGGCGCGAAAGCGUGGGGAGCAAACAGGGAUUAGAUACCCUGGUAGUCCACGCCGUAAACGAUGAGUGCUAAGUGUUGGGGGGGUUUCCCGCCCCUCAGUGCUGCAGCUAACGCGUUAAGCACUCCGCCUGGGGAGUACGGUCGCAAGACUG